Molecule: non-coding RNA, 73 nt
Organism: Aedes aegypti (yellow fever mosquito)
Lineage: Eukaryota; Metazoa; Arthropoda; Insecta; Diptera; Culicidae
Source: Rfam
CGUCUCAUGGCGUAGUGGUAACGCGCCCCAACUAGAGAUCGGGGAGUCGUGAGUUCGAUUCUCACUGAGAAGA